ACAGCAGCAGCCGCGGUAAUACAGAGGGUGCGAGCGUUAAUCGGAUUUACUGGGCGUAAAGCGUGCGUAGGCGGCUUUUUAAGUCGGAUGUGAAAUCCCUGAGCUUAACUUAGGAAUUGCAUUCGAUACUGGGAAGCUAGAGUAUGGGAGAGGAUGGUAGAAUUCCAGGUGUAGCGGUGAAAUGCGUAGAGAUCUGGAGGAAUACCGAUGGCGAAGGCAGCCAUCUGGCCUAAUACUGACGCUGAGGUACGAAAGCGUGGGGAGCAAACAGGAUUAGAUACCCCUGUAGUCCCUGUCUCUUAUAC
This 305-nucleotide ribosomal RNA is filed under the name uncultured bacterium. RNAcentral describes it as "partial 16S ribosomal RNA". It matches the Rfam family "Bacterial small subunit ribosomal RNA", at positions 505 to 807 of the family's 1533-position model. The record is from RNAcentral.